CCUACGGGUGGCAGCAGUGGGGAAUAUUGCGCAAUGGGGGAAACCCUGAUGCAGCGACGCCGCGUGAGCGAUGAAGUAUUUCGGUAUGUAAAGCUCUGUCAGCAGGGAAGAACGUUACGGUACCUAACUAACAAUCCCCGGCUAACUCCGUGCCAGCAGCCGCGGUAAUACGUAGGGGGCAAGCGUUAUCCGGAUUUACUGGGUGUAACGUGAACGUAGACGGUCCUGCAAGCCACAUGUGAAGGCCCGGGGCUCAACCCCGGGACUGCAUUUGGAACUGUAAGGCUAGAGUGUGGGAGAGGAAGGCGGAAUUCCUAGUGUAGCGGUGAAAUGCGUAGAUAUUAGGAGGAACACCAGUGGCGAAGGCGGCCUGCUGGACGAUGACUGACGUUGAGGCGCGAAAGCGUGGGGAGCAAACAGGAUUAGAUACCCGUGUAGUC
RNAcentral lists this ribosomal RNA (440 nucleotides) under uncultured bacterium. RNAcentral describes it as "partial 16S ribosomal RNA". It matches the Rfam family "Bacterial small subunit ribosomal RNA", at positions 338 to 795 of the family's 1533-position model. The record is from RNAcentral.